UUUCCGUAGGUGAACCUGCGGAAGGAUCCUUAAUGAGUUGUCAUGGGGUUCGAUGCUGGCAGCCAAUUUUUGGAUGCAUGUGCUUGCCCUAACAAUCAUCUUCCAAACACCUGUGCACAUUUUUGAGGGAGUCUUGAGUUGGUUGCCGCUCUUGGGUGAUUUUCUCACAUUCCCUUAAAUCAUUAUACGCUAUUAACAAUGUUGAACGUGCUCUGUGCCGCAAGGCUAUUAAUAUAAUACAACUUUUAACAACGGAUCUCUUGGCUCUC
This 269-nucleotide unclassified non-coding RNA is filed under the name plant metagenome. RNAcentral's name for it is "partial contains small subunit ribosomal RNA, internal transcribed spacer 1, and 5.8S ribosomal RNA". The record is from RNAcentral.